Non-coding RNA from Poecilia reticulata (guppy), 873 nucleotides. Lineage: Eukaryota; Metazoa; Chordata; Actinopteri; Cyprinodontiformes; Poeciliidae. The record is from RefSeq and is a predicted model, not a curated record.
AUCCUCACACAACUUUUUGCAUUUAGAAGAUGUUGCCAUUCAGUCAAAUACUGUAAAUUAGUUUACAGUGGAAAUAAGUUACAUCAGUAAGCUUGUAAUUAAGUUCAUGGUUAGCUAAUUGCUUCACUAAAUUUAUGCUUAGAAUGGGUAUGAGUUUGGGGGUUUGAAAUUUGAUCAGAGUGUAACAUUUGUAUGUAUUUCAAACGAUUUUUGUCAUAGUGUAUUUUCAGAAACAUGACUGAGUGAGCACUCUUGGCAGCAAACUAUCUUUGACGUCUAUUUCUCCGGUAACCAUGCCAACAAGAAUUUAGGCAGUUGGAAGAAGGUCAACGGCACGUGAGCACUUCGUACUUUGGAAAAAUGUCAUUUUGCAUUGUUUCAAUGCCACCGCCUACCUGAGCACCAACUGAAGGCCACCUCCACAGAAACUACGCACCACGUCUCAAAGCUCAGAUGAUUUAAAAACGGCUUCUUGAACAUGACCAGCUCCAAUCCAGCAUCUCAACCAGCAGCCGAUAAAUUAACUGUGAGGCGUCAAAACGGACAAACAUUUCUGCCGUCUCGGAAUGCCGACAAAGUUUUGCACACGUUUGUAAUGAAACGCAGCUAAUGGAUCCUUCAGAGACUUUGCUGCCAGUGACACCAUUUAUCCCAGCAUGGAUGGAGAACGCAAACAUCGUACUACAGAAAGAGCAGUGCUACUUAAACAUAUUGUAUAAAAGUAUAAAGCAUAAAAGUAUCUGUCCAAGAAAUUACUCAAGAGUAAAACAAGUAUCUGUCCAAAGUUUCAACUCAGGUACUGAGAAACUGAUCAAAACCUAAAUCAUUUAAUAUUUAAAAAUUGCAUCACACAGCCCAAACUAUAAAGUGGAU